Molecule: long non-coding RNA, 1168 nt
Organism: Triticum dicoccoides
Lineage: Eukaryota; Viridiplantae; Streptophyta; Magnoliopsida; Poales; Poaceae
Exons: 6
Source: RefSeq, a predicted model, not a curated record
CGCUCCGCUCCCAAUCCUGGUCGCGGGGUUGCUGCGCCAGAGCCCACACCCGCACCAACCCUAGCCGCCACACCUCUCCUUCCUCCCUCGCUCGAUAGUGCCGCACCCCCUCCCUCCUUGCUGCUCGUCCGGAUAGCCGCCGGCCACCGCAUCCCUUCUCCCCCUUCCUCCUCCUUCCUCCUUCCCCCUGGCGCCAACGAGGGGGCCUCCCGCAUGGAUGGCCGGGUCUUCGAACCGGGGGUAGAGGAGCAGGGGAGGGCAAAGAAGCCAGCGGUGGGGUGGAGCAGCUGGGAGGGCCAAGAAGCCCGUGGUGGGUGUGGAGCAGCUAGGAGGGCCAAGAAGCCGGCGGUGGGGGUAGAGGAGCAGGGGAGGGCCAAGAAAGCCGGCCGGGAGCACACCACCGUAGGCAUCAAGGGAGCCGUGGACAAGCCGCCAGGAGGAUAAAGCUCCCAGUUUGAGGAGGAGACUACGGCACAGGUGGUGCUUUGAAAUCUAGAUUGAUUUGGUACUGUAUGUCGUGUGGUGUGCCCUUGCCAGGAAUAUCUAAUGUGUGUCAUGACACAAUCAAUUGUAGAGCUGGGAAGCAUGAUGCUUGAUUAGUGGACUGCCGCUUGAGAAGAAGCUUGUCAUAUGUCUCUUCGAGCCACGGUGGCUAGGGGCCUUCGAAGAACACGGGGUUUGACAUAGCCAUUGAGGAAGUGCAGGAUACAAACCAGAUGUAAACAAAGAGGAUAUGGAUUUAGUACGGCCACGAGUGAAGGAAUGAUGUUCCAAUUUGGAUCUUGGAGAAUGUUUUCUCACUGUGGUUCAGGUUAAACUGUUGUUCUACUGUUCCUACUCAGCCUCCUAAUGUUCUAUGUCUUGAUGCGCCUUCUUCCAGCUUCUCUAUUGGUUUUCUCUUCACACUGAUGAAAAUUCCUAGGGAUUUGAUUGAUGGAGGCAUCGCUAUUUGGCGCUGGAUUAUCCAUUUUUGCAGCACCAGCAAUGUUGUUUUUGUUUGGAAUGUCCAGUUCUCAAUUUCUAAAUCGGCUAUACUAUACUUCUUGUCAGCUUACAUUAUCUUGCUUCCUUUCAGUCUAUAUGUAGCACAAAAAUACUCGGUGACAUGGUUGGUUUGUAUGUUACACUAAUGAACACCACCAUAAGGAAAAGGGCAUUGCACUUUGUU